Molecule: transfer RNA, 73 nt
Filed under: Camelus ferus (Wild Bactrian camel)
Lineage: Eukaryota; Metazoa; Chordata; Mammalia; Artiodactyla; Camelidae
Rfam family: tRNA
About the family: Transfer RNA (tRNA) molecules are approximately 80 nucleotides in length. Their secondary structure includes four short double-helical elements and three loops (D, anti-codon, and T loops).
Source: Rfam by way of RNAcentral
GAGGGUAUAGCUCAAGUGGUAGAGCACAUGCUUAACAUGCACAAGGUCCUGGGUUCAAUCCCCAGUACCUCCU